UAGGGAAUCUUCGGCAAUGGGGGGAACCCUGACCGAGCAACGCCGCGUGAGUGAAGAAGGCUUUCGGAUCGUAAAGCCCUGUUGUUAAGGAAGAACGAGUGUGAGAAUGGAAAGUUCAUGCUGUGACGGUACUUAACCAGAAAGGGACGGCUAACUACGUGCCAGCAGCCGCGGUAAUACGUAGGUCCCGAGCGUUGUCCGGAUUUAUUGGGCGUAAAGCGAGCGCAGGCGGUUAGAAAAGUCUGAAGUGAAAGGCAGUGGCUCAACCAAGGUAGGCUUUGGAAACUGUUUAUCUUGCGUGCAGAAGGGGGGGGUUGAAUUCCAUGUGUGGCGGUGAAAUGCGUAGAUAUAUGGGGGAACACCGGUUGCGAAAGCGGCUCUCUGGUCUGUAACUGGCGCUGAGGCUCGAAAGCGUGGGGAGCGAACAGG
This 429-nucleotide ribosomal RNA is filed under the name Verrucomicrobiota bacterium. RNAcentral's name for it is "Verrucomicrobia bacterium partial 16S ribosomal RNA". It matches the Rfam family "Bacterial small subunit ribosomal RNA", at positions 355 to 776 of the family's 1533-position model. Lineage: Bacteria; Pseudomonadati; Verrucomicrobiota. The record is from RNAcentral.